This 1731-nucleotide ribosomal RNA is filed under the name Triticum aestivum (bread wheat). Its description in RNAcentral is "partial small subunit ribosomal RNA". The record is from RNAcentral. Lineage: Eukaryota; Viridiplantae; Streptophyta; Magnoliopsida; Poales; Poaceae.
AUGGCUAUCGGCGCCGCGCUCUUCUUCUUCUUCCUCGCUGUGGCUCUAACAGCGGCGCCCGGUGGCGGCGGCGGCGAUGCGGCGCUCGUGGAGCACNNNNNNNNNGUGAGCGAGAUAAUGCUAAAUCACCUGUGCAACGACACGCCGGUUAUUGUGGUGAACGGGCAAUUGCCAGGCCCAGCGAUAGAGGCCACGGAAGGAGACUCCGUGGUCGUUCAUGUCAUCAACAAGUCACCUCAUGGAGUAACUAUCCAUUGGCAUGGAGUGAAGCAGCAACUGAAUUGCUGGGCCGACGGGGCAGGGAUGAUAACCCAAUGCCCGAUCCAGCCGAACAAGAACUUCACGUAUCGGUUCAACGUCAUCGGCCAGGAGGGCACGCUGUGGUGGCAUGCUCAUGUUGGCUUCCUCCGUGCGACAGUUCAUGGCGCAUUGAUCAUCCGACCAAGAUCCGGGCCUGGUUCAUACCCGUUUCCCAAACCCGACAAGGAGAUCCCCAUCGUUAUAGGUGAAUGGUGGGACAUGGAAAUUGUUCAGGUGGAAAGGAGAGCCGCGAGUAGAAUCUUCGACGAUUGGCCCCGUUCCCCCACGAUCAAUGGAAAGCUUGGAGACCUCAGUAACUGUUCUGGGUUCAUUGAAGACAACUAUGUUCUUAAUGUUGAGCAUGGAAAGACAUAUCUCUUACGCAUAGUAAACGCAGCACUCCAUGAACAAUACAACUUCAAGAUCGCUGGGCAUGAGUUCACGGUGGUCGCAAUUGAUGCCAACUAUGUGAAGCCAUACACGACAGAUACCAUCGUGAUCGCGUCAGGCGAGACGGUCGAUGCUUUGCUCGUUGCCGACGCACCUCCUGGUCGGUACUACAUGAUCGCCCAAGCUAUGCAAUCACCGGAGCCUUUCCUCCAGAUUCCGGUGUUAAUGUCAAGAGGGGUUGUAUCCUACUAUCCAAGCAAAGGAUCUACUGACGAUACUCCGAUAAUGGCUCCUGAAAUGCCCGAUCAACACGAUGCAACCACGUCUUUCUACUUCCGAGGCAACUUGACCAGUCUGCUACCUCGAUCGGUUCCAGCGAACGUCGACGAGCAACUGUUCAUCGCCAUUGACGUGGGCGACAUCUGCUCACAUGAUGGAUCACAUGACAACUGCAUGGUGACUAGGUUGAACAACAUCUCUUUCCAUCUCCCCACGACGACAUCAUUGCUCCAAGCACACUACAACAACAACAUGAGCACAAGCGCAAUCAGCAUGCUAAAGGAGUUCCCAAGAUGUCCACCGAGCUCAGAGUUUGGCUAUAGCCCGACGUCGGUGGGGACGGCGGUGAGGACGGUGCGGUACAACACCACGGUGGAAAUCGUGUUCCAAAACCCAUACUCGUCGGGUAUGUUCAGCGCAAGUAACCCGAUGCACCUUCAUGGACACGACUUGUUCAUUCUCGGGCAGGGGUUAGGGAAGUUCGACCCGGUGAAGGAUGUGCAGGCAUACAACUUGGUGGAUCCACCCGUGAGGAACACCGCCCUUGCCCCGAUUUACGGGUGGACAGCCAUCCGAUUCGUCGCAAGUAAUCCUGGGGUGUGGUUCUUGCACUGCCAUAUGGAAAAGCACGUAUCGUCGGGCAUGGCAUUGGCACUCGUGGUGGAGAACGGACCGACACCCGAGACGACUCUUCCCCCACCUCCGGCAGAUUAUCGAAGCUGUGAUGGCGGCCAAAACAAUAGAGCACUGGCAGAUGAAUAA